GAGAAGCUCCGCAUCGAUCCGAACUCCGGCUUCACCAUAUUCUUCUCCGACGAAAAACCAUCCUCUUUCUUGCGCUGCUCUUGAAAAGUCCAUCCCUGAGUCGUGGGAGCUGUGGUGGAUGAAGGCUGAAAAGACGUCGGCGGCAGCUUUGACGAUUGAGUUUGAAAUGAGAAAUUAGACAGAUAUUUGUUUUCUUCCUUAAUGCUCUGCUGAUUAUACCCAGAAUUGCUCUUCCAAUUCAACGACUGAGACGGGAAACUCCCAGUGGUCGGCGACGGCAAAACAUGAGAAGCACUGAGAAGAACAGGGGAAUCAAGAAGCUCGG
This 325-nucleotide unclassified non-coding RNA is filed under the name Hevea brasiliensis (rubber tree). The record is from RNAcentral. Lineage: Eukaryota; Viridiplantae; Streptophyta; Magnoliopsida; Malpighiales; Euphorbiaceae.